GAUGAACGCUGGCGGCGUGCCUAAUACAUGCAAGUCGAGCGAACAGACGAGGAGCUUGCUCCUCUGACGUUAGCGGCGGACGGGUGAGUAACACGUGGAUAACCUACCUAUAAGACUGGGAUAACUUCGGGAAACCGGAGCUAAUACCGGAUAAUAUAUUAAACCGCAUGGUUCAAUAGUGAAAGACGGUUUUGCUGUAACUUAUGGAUGGAUCCGCGCCGCAUUAGCUAGUUGGUAAGGUAACGGCUUACCAAGGCAACGAUGCGUAGCCGACCUGAGAGGGUGAUCGGCCACACUGGAACUGAGACACGGUCCAGACUCCUACGGGAGGCAGCAGUAGGGAAUCUUCCGCAAUGGGCGAAAGCCUGACGGAGCAACGCCGCGUGAGUGAUGAAGGUCUUCGGAUCGUAAAACUCUGUUAUUAGGGAAGAACAAAUGUGUAAGUAACUAUGCACGUCUUGACGGUACCUAAUCAGAAAGCCACGGCUAACUACGUG
This 497-nucleotide ribosomal RNA is filed under the name uncultured bacterium. Its description in RNAcentral is "partial 16S ribosomal RNA". It matches the Rfam family "Bacterial small subunit ribosomal RNA", at positions 28 to 507 of the family's 1533-position model. The record is from RNAcentral.